Molecule: ribosomal RNA, 253 nt
Filed under: uncultured bacterium
Lineage: Bacteria
Description: partial 16S ribosomal RNA
Rfam family: Bacterial small subunit ribosomal RNA
Source: RNAcentral
UACGGAGGGUCCGAGCGUUAUUCGGAUUUAUUGGGUUUAAAGGGCGCGUAGGCGGGCUGUUAAGUCAGCUGUGAAAUGUCAGGGCUCAACCUGGGAAUUGCAGCUGAUACUGGUUGUCUUGAGUAUGCGAGAGGGGGGCGGAAUUCGUGGUGUAGCGGUGAAAUGCUUAGAUAUGACGAAGAACACCGAUGGCGAAGGCAGCUCACUGGAGCAUAACUGACGCUGAUGCGCGAAAGUGUGGGUAUCAAACAGG